This 443-nucleotide ribosomal RNA is filed under the name uncultured bacterium. RNAcentral's name for it is "partial 16S ribosomal RNA". It matches the Rfam family "Bacterial small subunit ribosomal RNA", at positions 338 to 795 of the family's 1533-position model. The record is from RNAcentral.
CCUACGGGAGGCAGCAGUGGGGAAUAUUGGACAAUGGGGGGAACCCUGAUCCAGCGACGCCGCGUGAGUGAAGAAGUAUUUCGGUAUGUAAAGCUCUAUCAGCAGGGAAGAAAGAAAUGACGGUACCUGACUAAGAAGCCCCGGCUAACUACGUGCCAGCAGCCGCGGUAAUACGUAGGGGGCAAGCGUUAUCCGGAUUUACUGGGUGUAAGGGGAGCGUAGACGGCGAUGCAAGUCUGAAGUGAAAGGCGGGGGCCCAACCCCCGGACGGCUUUGGAAACUGUAUGGCUGGAGUGCAGGAGAGGUAAGUGGAAUGCCUAGUGUAGCGGUGAAAUGCGUAGAUAUUAGGAGGAACACCAGUGGCGAAGGCGGCUUACUGGACUGUAACUGACGUUGAGGCUCGAAAGCGUGGGGAGCAAACAGGAUUAGAUACCCGGGUAGUC